RNAcentral lists this long non-coding RNA (1003 nucleotides) under Eucalyptus grandis. RNAcentral describes it as "long non-coding RNA (EGRA_LNC003791)". Lineage: Eukaryota; Viridiplantae; Streptophyta; Magnoliopsida; Myrtales; Myrtaceae. The record is from RNAcentral.
GAGAAAAAGUCAAAAAAGAAAAGCAGUGGAGCAGCAUUUGCAGAAGAAGACAGAGAAGAAGUGACGUGCGAGAGAAGAUGUGAAGGGCUUCAGCAGAAAAAAUAAUAAAAAGAAAGAAAAGGGGCCCCUGUUCAUCUUCGUCCGUGGAGCAGCCCAUUGCCGGCCUCGUCUGCAAGUGCCUGUGCCGUCCGCCGCGUACGUACCGCCGUGCUCACACCACCACCGCGCCAACUCUACCGACGUUUCUUCAACCCAAUCGACGCCACCGGUGGUCCAUUUGCUGCACACCCGAGCGAUUGACGUUGCUUUGCCGUACCGCCAUCCAACGCCGCCUACGAAUCCGUUCGGAGCCACCACCGGCUCGACGCCCCUGUUCCGCACCACCGCAGCCGACCCGUGUCACCACCGCCCACGAUGACCCCGACGCUACAGGUCUACGUGCAACCACCGACGCCAUCCCCUGUUUCUGCUGCUCUACUUUAGCCGUGCCCCGAAGUCCACGAUUUGCAGCGUCGCGACCCGCCUCCGUCAGCCCAGCACCACUGCAGCCGGAUCCGACACCCCUGCAGCAUCCGCCUUCGAGCCAGUCGACACGCCUCAUCCGCGACGCCCUGCCCCGACGCCGCGUCACCUCUGCUCGACCCGGUGCCCGACGCUCCCUGCUGCCUUGCCAACCGAACCCUUCGCCCGAGUGAUCCCCCGUUUUGUUGCAGGUCUACCUUUGCCAAACCUCGCUGGAGCUCCGACCACGGGGAGACUCCGACCGACGGUAACUUCCGACGACGCCGGACACCCUUUGACCGGCGCCAUUUACCACCGUCGCUGCUCCCAUUUUCCAAGCCUUGGGUAGUUUAUUUUUAUUUUUUAUUCUUUAUUUAUUUCAUGUUAUGUUAGCUUAUUUUUAAGUUUAAUUAUUUGAAUUGUAAUAUUGUAUGUCAAUAUUUGUAGACCUUGUAGACAUUAGAGGUUUUAUCCCAAAUUAUGGUAAUUAUUAAUUUGACCC